CAGCCACAUCCCGUUGAAACAAAGGUUCCCGUACGAUCACUGAAGUUAAGCAUCUUUGAGCCUGGUCAGUAAGUAGAUGGGUGGCCUCUUAAGAAUACCAGGUGGUGUAAG
This is a non-coding RNA of Acanthosepion pharaonis, 111 nucleotides long. The record is from the annotation of a GenBank genome assembly. Lineage: Eukaryota; Metazoa; Mollusca; Cephalopoda; Sepiida; Sepiidae.